Non-coding RNA from Pelobates cultripes (western spadefoot toad), 256 nucleotides. The record is from the annotation of a GenBank genome assembly. NCBI's taxonomy places the organism in Eukaryota, Metazoa, Chordata, Amphibia, Anura, Pelobatidae.
CCUGACCCCUUUAUCCUCUGUAAAAGAAAAGGUGUUAAACUCACUUAAUUUGCAGUGCUGUGCAAGUCUCUUUGCCCUGCCCCCUCCGCCUACUUGGCUGAGAUCAUCAGACGUAGGAAAGCAUUGGGAGGCUAUUGCGCAUGCAUGGAAAAAUGCCGCCCUGCACUAAUUAAAUCAAUGCAUCUCCAUGAGAAACGGUCAGCUGCAAAAGAUUCACCCACUUCCCACGCUAGUGAUAAGAUUCCCAUAUAGAGAC